This is a long non-coding RNA of Gadus macrocephalus (Pacific cod), 640 nucleotides long. RefSeq lists it as uncharacterized. NCBI's taxonomy places the organism in Eukaryota, Metazoa, Chordata, Actinopteri, Gadiformes, Gadidae. The record is from RefSeq and is a predicted model, not a curated record. The transcript has 2 exons.
UUUAUGUCAUUCAGCAAAUUCCUGUAGAAAAGUGACAUAGUGCGGGUUUAAAGCUGUAGUAUGUAACCUUGUUUCAUUAAUGUUUUUUUUUUUUAUUUUGAAGUAAAGACACUUAUGUAAAAAAGACACUGGUAAAAGUACUGAUUCAACCUCUUUAUUGAACCUCUUCUCCCUUAAAUAAGGCCACGGAUUUUGAAUGUCUUGUCACUGCUCUAAAUCUGCUCCGUCUGCAUUGUUUGCUGGUUUACUUUUAUCCAUCCUCAAUCAUCAGCUACUAAUUCUCCAAUAGACACCAUUUCUCUGCCAGGAAGUCUCCCUCGCCCCCCUUCAAAUAUAAUCACUGAUGGUGAGGGAUCAUUUAACUGUACCCUUAGAAGGAUGUUAAUCAAUAUCUUGCCUUAUGUGCUAUAUGAAUAGGUUCUUGCUUCUUUGAAAUCAUUGAAUUGUCAUUUAAUGUUCCGCGCCACCAGUAUUUAGUAAUAUUCAGGCCUGGGGACCAAUGUGAAACCAAGGCAGCUUCAGCCAGAGGGAUUCAGAUAGACAAAGGGUCGAUACGGUUUGUAUAAGGACAGGUUACAACUCUGGUAUGAAGAGUUUGCAAAGGUGUCUCCACUGCUUUAAUAAACAAGAUUGUCACGUA